This 483-nucleotide ribosomal RNA is filed under the name Streptomyces sp. 313B07. Its description in RNAcentral is "bacterial SSU rRNA". It matches the Rfam family "Bacterial small subunit ribosomal RNA", at positions 93 to 590 of the family's 1533-position model. The record is from RNAcentral. Lineage: Bacteria; Bacillati; Actinomycetota; Actinomycetes; Kitasatosporales; Streptomycetaceae.
UAGUGGCGAACGGGUGAGUAACACGUGGGCAAUCUGCCCUUCACUCUGGGACAAGCCCUGGAAACGGGGUCUAAUACCGGAUAAUACCUGCCUGGGCAUCUGGGUGGGUUGAAAGCUCCGGCGGUGAAGGAUGAGCCCGCGGCCUAUCAGCUUGUUGGUGAGGUAGUGGCUCACCAAGGCGACGACGGGUAGCCGGCCUGAGAGGGCGACCGGCCACACUGGGACUGAGACACGGCCCAGACUCCUACGGGAGGCAGCAGUGGGGAAUAUUGCACAAUGGGCGAAAGCCUGAUGCAGCGACGCCGCGUGAGGGAUGACGGCCUUCGGGUUGUAAACCUCUUUCAGCAGGGAAGAAGCGAGAGUGACGGUACCUGCAGAAGAAGCGCCGGCUAACUACGUGCCAGCAGCCGCGGUAAUACGUAGGGCGCAAGCGUUGUCCGGAAUUAUUGGGCGUAAAGAGCUCGUAGGCGGCUUGUCACGUCG